RNAcentral lists this ribosomal RNA (1285 nucleotides) under Schizonycha sp. SCH01. RNAcentral's name for it is "16S ribosomal RNA". The stretch from base 852 to 1219 matches the Rfam family "Bacterial large subunit ribosomal RNA", at positions 2073 to 2647 of the family's 2925-position model. The record is from RNAcentral. Lineage: Eukaryota; Metazoa; Arthropoda; Insecta; Coleoptera; Scarabaeidae.
AAUAAGGGACUUAUUAGUUUAUUUUAAAAAAAAUAUUUUUUGUAUUAGUAUUGUUAAUGAAUUUAGUUGUAUAAUGAUAGUGAAUUAGUAUAGUGAUAGAAUUAUUAAAUAUACUGAAAUUUAGUUAUGUAAAAGAAGAAUUAAUUUUUUGUACCUUGUGUAUCAGGGUUUAUUAAAAAAUUAAUAUGUAUUAUACUUAUCUCGAAUUAGAAAGAGCUAAAACAUUAUAUAUUUAAUUGUAGCAUAAAUUUUUAUAAUAUUGUUUUAGUAAUGAAAUGUUAUUCGUUUUUUAAUAUAUCUAGUUUUUUAAUAAAUGAAUUUAAUUCAGCUUUUAGAUUAUAAUAUAUUACAUUUAUAAUAUGUUGUAUUUAAGAAGUAAUAUUUUAAGGGAUAAGCUUUAAAAUAAAGACUUAUAAUAUUUAUUGUGAAUAUAAAGUAUGUAGGAUUGGAAAUGUUUAUCUUUAGUUUGUUAUAAUUAACUUUAUAUUUAAUAAGAUUUAUAUUGGAGUUUAGGUAGUUUAUUAAAAUAAUUUAUGUAAUUGGGAAUUAUAUGUAAUAAUGGUAAAAUUAGUAUAAUUGUAUGUUUAUUGUAAUUGAAAAAUAAAGGUUAAGUUAAGGAACUCGGCAAAUAUACUUUUCGCCUGUUUAUUAAAAACAUGUCUUUUUGAUUAUAAUUUAAAGUCUGACCUGCCCAAUGAGGAGUUAAAUGGCCGCGGUAACCUGACCGUGCAAAGGUAGCAUAAUCAUUAGUUUUUUAAUUGAAAGCUGGUAUGAAUGGUUGGACGAGGGAGUAACUGUCUCAAUUUAAUUUAAUUAGAAUUUUAUUUUUAAGUCAAAAAGCUUAAAUGAAUUUAAAAGACGAGAAGACCCUAUAGAGUUUUAUAUUUAUUAUAAUAAGUGUAUUUUAGUAUAAAUUAUAUGUUUAUUGUAAUAAGUAUUUUGUUGGGGUGACUGAAAAAUUGGAGUAACUUUUUUUAACUUGUAUCAUUAAUUUAUGAGUAAGUGAUCCGCUGUAAGAGCGAUUAGAAGAUUAAAUUACCUUAGGGAUAACAGCGUAAUUUUUUUUGAGAGUUCAAAUCGAAAAAAGAGUUUGCGACCUCGAUGUUGGAUUAAAAUUUACUUUUGGUGUAGAAGCUAAAAAGUUGGGUCUGUUCGACCUUUAAAAUUUUACAUGAUCUGAGUUUAAACCGGCGUGAGCCAGGUUGGUUUCUAUCUUUAAAAUAAAAAAAUAUUUUAGUACGAAAGGACCAAGUAUUUGUAAUAUUUAUUAUAAAUUGAAUAUUAA